UAUUCUCAACGCUUUACCAGUUAUUAUGUCCGUUGGCAGCCCAGUCCGUAGCUUACGGCCCGGCUGAUGCGAGCCCAAUCCGCAGCUUAUGGCCUGUUCUUAUGGCCUAUGCGAAACAAGAAAACAAAACGGCCCGCGGCCCGCCAGCGAAAAACUACGGCCCGUUACGCGCAUGUUUCACCUGGCGGCCCGGUUCGCAUCUAAACCAGCCUACCUUAUCUGCGCUGAAAAUAAUUUGCGCGAGCCCGGCAAAACGGCCUGCCUCCCUUGCCCGAGCAACUUACAGCCUUAUGGCGAAAAUGGCGCUCUUUAUCUUUCGGCCUGGUUCCUUAAUCGCGAGACUUACGGACUGCAGCGGCCUGUAACGCGCUUACUUUCGGCCUGGGCCUUGAGCCCAAAAACCAACGGAUGGGCCGCCGAAUCGGCCCAGCAUCCGCACCCGCUGCAAUCUCCACCGUCCGUCGGAUGGUCCACCGCGCCGAUCGGGAAAACAAAACGGCGAGUGCGUCGCUGGCCCCCGAACCCUCAUCUAUUUUUGUCUUCUCUGCGCCGCAAAAGUACCCGACACCGAGCAGCCUUUCUCUCUCGCCUCCUCCCCUUCUUCUCCACACAGCGCCGCCGAUGGCCGCCGUGCCGCCGCCCUUGCCGUGCUCCACUACGGGUCCUCUCGCCGGAGCCGGCGUGCGACCUAGUCGCGCGCGGAUCCGUCGAGGGGCCCCGCUGUGGGCCUUAUGGCGAGGCGGUCUGGUGACGACGGCGAGCGGGUCUGAAGCCCGACGGCGUCAACGGAUCGGCACGCGACACGUCAAGCUGAAGAGCGCCGGCGGCCAUACAUGAAGUCCGCUGGAGUUCGGGAUGACGGCGAAACGGCGGACUGGCUGCGGUAGGUGGAUGCGUACGACGGUCCUGAUGUCGUGCGCGCGUCCUCUGAUGCGGCCGGUCAAAGAGGGUGCGGCGACGGCCGCGCGCGGCGGCACUGAUGCCGUGCGCGGCCAUUAACGGAGCUUAGAAGAUCCCCUUAAAGGGCGCUGACGACCCCGUGCCUGCUUGAGGAAGCAGGCAUGAUGUCGAUCCUGACGAGAAACACCAUCACAGCAGAACGGUGGCCGGCGGAGGUCUUCAAGUCCGUGCCCGUGCAAAACUGAUUAGGAGGAAAACUUACCUUCAAGUUGUUUGGGGUGGAGUGCCCCUUCUUAUUAUUAUAUAGCACGGAAUAAUAUAGCACGGGCCGGUCCUUGGGACCAGGCCGUUGGUCAGUUUGUUGGCCCCAAACCAGGGCAACGUGGGAUGGUAGUUAGGUAGUUAACCCCCUUGACUAAGCCAAGAUCAAUUCCAACAUGGACUACCUUCUCAUCCGUCAUCCGUCAGUGAAUGGUGGUCAGCGUUAGAAUCUACCAAUGGAGCUCCCCUAAAAGGGUUGCGGUCUCUAAUCAUCAUCGUGUGCUGGGAAAUAUGAAAGGAAUGCAACGCAAGAGUAUUCCAACGCAAGUUCAAAAGCCUAAACCAACUGCUCUGCAAAAUCAAAGAGGAAGCGCGUUGCUUGAUCUUGGCGGGAGCGGCGCUAUCCUCUAAAUUGAGGAGUGAUCUCAUUUCUUUCAUGUUUGUACAGCUAUAGCUUUUCUUUUAUACUUGGACCUAGAUCUUGUCACUCUCUUCUCUUUUAAUUAAUACAAAUCCGGCACCCUCUAUCGGGUUUUAAGUUUUAAAAAAAAAGUCCUAUGUUUCCUCAACCUGCUGGGUAGAUCGGCCUGUGUAUCUCACUUCCAAUGUACAGACGUCCUUUAAAGAUGAAACAUUCCCACAUCAUAUGAAUUGUUCUGCACCAAGAGAAGACGACCAACCACGCUCUUACCACAUAUAUCCAUCAUAAACCAGUCGCAUUACACAUUGUGAAAAUAGAGGGAAAGUGAAAUCGUAUAUAUGCUUACCUUGUCUAAAUCGGUGGUCGAUGGCCUGGAGCAGCUGAUGCAGGCACAGAGUCAGACCCCUCAAAUGACAUCCUAUUUUCUGUCUCAUAAACUUUCUUCAUUUCUUACAGAAUCUGAAGAGUGAGGAAAACACAUAAUGUCAUCGAUGCAUUUGUUUUCAUGUAAAUUCAUCAAAGAUUAUGAACAAGGUCACAGUACCUGUGGCACAUGUACGUAGAACACCCUAACCCAAAUUGACAAAAUUACGAUGUAUCCUACGGUGCCAAGGGACCACAUAACUGCUUUGGGGGUAUGUGCGCAAAACAGCAGUAUCACACAUAAUCCUGCGCAGUGGAAUAGGAAGACAAGAAGCACCACAUAUUUGAAGACGUGAGUAGAACGGAUGGUCUAGUCAACACACGCAUCUACAAGGAAGUAGCAAUGGCUAAACUUACAUCAAAACAAAACCCAAUCUGUUUGUGACGGCUCUAAUUCUUAUUCCUUAUUAAUACCUAGGAGAACGACCAGGAUCAAGCUGCAAAACUUUCAGCGGGGCUUCACUUACCUGGUAGGGAGCAAAAACAGAGGUCAUGUAACCAGGUUCCGAUCAUGGUCAUGUCACAUCGUUCAGCAAGUUUCGAGUUGUUGGCAUACGACACCUCACCUAUCUUACAUCCCUAUUGACAUCUUUUA
Molecule: long non-coding RNA, 2600 nt
Organism: Setaria italica (foxtail millet)
Lineage: Eukaryota; Viridiplantae; Streptophyta; Magnoliopsida; Poales; Poaceae
Exons: 2
Source: RefSeq, a predicted model, not a curated record